AGGUUUUCUUUAAGUUUCUCAGAUGUUGGACUUCCUGGACAAUCUUUUUCAUGGAUUUUCUGCAGUUGCAUAAAUGAAUUGACUGGAAUCAAGAAGAUCUGUGAUAAUAAAAGAUGGGCCGAAUUCUGCAAUCAAUUCCUUAUUAACCCAAAUGAGUUGCUGCAGAGACUGAAAAAGCCUUCAGCCUGAGUUCCCAGUGUCUAUCAAUGUAACAGCUACUACACAAAGAGGAUUUACUAGAUCUUGAGCCCCAGAUGUUGUUGGAAGAAAAUCACAAGCCUCCACUGUAUACACAAAGAGCUCUUAAGGUUAGAGAUAAGAACAACUCAAAGUGGAAGUGGAACUAGUGCCAUAAAAUGCCAAUUACAGUGAAAAGCUUCAGUGACCACAGAAGCGAAUAUAUGCUGUUUACAUCUAACAGAGUAUACUCAAGACCUGUAAACUGUGCUGCUCUUGCCUUUGAUAGAAGUGACCUCUGCCUGGAAGCAGGGAAGAUGUGGA
Molecule: long non-coding RNA, 501 nt
Organism: Tyto alba (common barn owl)
Lineage: Eukaryota; Metazoa; Chordata; Aves; Strigiformes; Tytonidae
Exons: 6
Source: RefSeq, a predicted model, not a curated record